AGCACAUCCUUUGUACUCAUUUAGAAACGUAACUCUGAAUUUCUCUGUCUCUGCAAAGGGGUAAUUCCUGGGUGUUCUUCAGUGGUGAGUGAAGGCAUUUUUGCACAUGCUAUCGGAUGAACUGAGUCUAGAAUUUUGGUGAGACAUAUUUGAUACCGAAAAAAGUGAACCCCAGGAGAGGGCUCCAAGCUUCAGCUCUUGUCUGAGGUGACCUUCCUGCUUCCUGCUUCCUGCUUCCUGCUUCCUGCUUCCUGCUUCCUGCUUCCUGCUUCCUGCUUCCUGCUUCAGACUGCAGACCAGGGCUUGGACUUGGCUGUGUUCCUCUGCUGAAGGUUACAGCUACUGCUGCACAGCUGUCUUUGUACAGAUCUCCCCAGAUAAAGCCACAAUGUAAGGUUCCAGGUGGCCACACUUAUUUGGAGACACCAUUUAACACGGUUCUGCUUCUACUUCCAUGAGAACCUAGUGAAGAAGACACAGCCAGAGCUUUGAUCAAAGAUUCCAAAUGCAAAUACAACUAACCACCCAACUGGUCCCAUCAGCCAAUGUAUCUCUUUGUUACCUCAAGGGAGAUUGAUUUACGCUUUCAUCAAUAAAUCUUCAUAUUUUCAAUG
This 614-nucleotide long non-coding RNA is filed under the name Mus musculus (house mouse). RNAcentral's name for it is "RIKEN cDNA 1700023F02 gene". Lineage: Eukaryota; Metazoa; Chordata; Mammalia; Rodentia; Muridae. The record is from RNAcentral.